ACCGCAUCCCGUCCGAUCUGCGCAGUCAAGCACUGUACCGCUCAGUUAGUACCAUGGUGGGGGACCACAUGGGAAUCCUGGGUGCUGAAGUUU
RNAcentral lists this ribosomal RNA (93 nucleotides) under Tulasnella calospora MUT 4182. Lineage: Eukaryota; Fungi; Basidiomycota; Agaricomycetes; Cantharellales; Tulasnellaceae. The record is from RNAcentral.